Molecule: ribosomal RNA, 468 nt
Filed under: uncultured bacterium
Lineage: Bacteria
Description: partial 16S ribosomal RNA
Rfam family: Bacterial small subunit ribosomal RNA
Source: RNAcentral
GACGAACGCUGGCGGCGUGCUUAACACAUGCAAGUCGAACGGAGAGGCCCUGCUUUUGUGGGGUGCUCGAGUGGCGAACGGGUGAGUAACACGUGAGUAACCUGCCCUUGACUUUGGGAUAACUUCAGGAAACUGGGGCUAAUACCGGAUAGGAGCUCCCGCUGCAUGGUGGGGGUUGGAAAGUUUCGGCGGUUGGGGAUGGACUCGCGGCUUAUCAGCUUGUUGGUGGGGUAGUGGCUUACCAAGGCUUUGACGGGUAGCCGGCCUGAGAGGGUGACCGGCCACAUUGGGACUGAGAUACGGCCCAGACUCCUACGGGAGGCAGCAGUGGGGAAUAUUGCACAAUGGGCGGAAGCCUGAUGCAGCAACGCCGCGUGCGGGAUGACGGCCUUCGGGUUGUAAACCGCUUUCGCCUGUGACGAAGCGUGAGUGACGGUAAUGGGUAAAGAAGCACCGGCUAACUACGUG